AUUGAACGCUGGCGGCAUGCUUUACACAUGCAAGUCGAACGGCAGCGCGGGCUUCGGCCUGGCGGCGAGUGGCGAACGGGUGAGUAAUACAUCGGAACGUGCCCAGGAGCGGGGGAUAGCGCGGCGAAAGCCGGAUUAAUACCGCAUACGACCUGAGGGUGAAAGCGGGGGAUCUUCGGACCUCGCGCUAUUGGAGCGGCCGAUGGCAGAUUAGCUAGUUGGUGGGGUAAAGGCCUACCAAGGCGACGAUCUGUAGCUGGUCUGAGAGGACGACCAGCCACACUGGGACUGAGACACGGCCCAGACUCCUACGGGAGGCAGCAGUGGGGAAUUUUGGACAAUGGGCGAAAGCCUGAUCCAGCAAUGCCGCGUGUGUGAUGAAGGCCUUCGGGUUGUAAAGCACUUUUGGCGGGAACGAAAAGGACUGUGCCAAUACCACGGUUCGAUGACGGUACCCGCAGAAUAAGCACCGGCUAACUACGUG
This 484-nucleotide ribosomal RNA is filed under the name uncultured bacterium. RNAcentral's name for it is "partial 16S ribosomal RNA". It matches the Rfam family "Bacterial small subunit ribosomal RNA", at positions 29 to 507 of the family's 1533-position model. The record is from RNAcentral.